GGGUGCAAUCGUACUAGCACUAAUGCACCGGAUACCAUCAAAAUUCUGAAUUAAGCGUGCUUGGGCGAGAAUAGUACUAGGAUGGGUGACGUCCUGGGAGGUCCUCGUUUUUGCACCCC
RNAcentral lists this ribosomal RNA (119 nucleotides) under Beta vulgaris subsp. vulgaris (sugar beet). Lineage: Eukaryota; Viridiplantae; Streptophyta; Magnoliopsida; Caryophyllales; Amaranthaceae. The record is from RNAcentral.